GACGAACGCUGGCGGCGUGCUUAACACAUGCAAGUCGAACGCUGAAGCUCAGCUUUUGUUGGGUGGAUGAGUGGCGAACGGGUGAGUAACACGUGAGUAACCUGCCCCCUUCUUUGGGAUAACGCCCGGAAACGGGUGCUAAUACUGGAUAUUCACUGGUCUUCGCAUGGGGGUUGGUGGAAAGGGUUUUUCUGGUGGGGGAUGGGCUCGCGGCCUAUCAGCUUGUUGGUGGGGUGAUGGCCUACCAAGGCUUUGACGGGUAGCCGGCCUGAGAGGGUGACCGGUCACAUUGGGACUGAGAUACGGCCCAGACUCCUACGGGAGGCAGCAGUGGGGAAUAUUGCACAAUGGGCGCAAGCCUGAUGCAGCGACGCCGCGUGAGGGACGGAGGCCUUCGGGUUGUGAACCUCUUUCGCUCAUGGUCAAGCCGCAACAAUGGUUGUGGUGAGGGUAGUGGGUAAAGAAGCGCCGGCUAACUACGUG
This 483-nucleotide ribosomal RNA is filed under the name uncultured bacterium. RNAcentral describes it as "partial 16S ribosomal RNA". It matches the Rfam family "Bacterial small subunit ribosomal RNA", at positions 28 to 507 of the family's 1533-position model. The record is from RNAcentral.